Molecule: long non-coding RNA, 2502 nt
Filed under: Homo sapiens (human)
Lineage: Eukaryota; Metazoa; Chordata; Mammalia; Primates; Hominidae
Description: non-protein coding TMPO-AS1:7
Source: RNAcentral
AGAAACGCAGUUUAAAAGGCGCUGGGGCGGGAGCCGAGGCUCCCGGCCCGCUUCUGUUUUCGUUUUCUCCACCCUUCCCCUUAGACGCCGAUAAGGGACAGGUCGUACUGCUUUUGUGCGCCGUUUCCUCUCCCUCCCCCAGCUUGAGAAGCAGCUUUCGUCUCUGGGGUCGAUCGCCUACGAACGCGCCGAAUUCCACGCCAGUGUGAGGACCCUUGGCUGGGCCUUUCUUCCUCCCGGGACACUGAAGCUCCAAGAGUAGCCGCAGCCUUGCCUUCCCCAAACGCUAGCCCUGAAGGGGAAGAAAAGAAGCGAGGCUUGUCUGCAGGCACUCAUAUUCCUUGAUUUGAUUUACUUUGGGAGGGGGAGGGCGGGGAGUUACCCCUCUCCUCGCGAACGCUUCUUUUGUUCCAGAAACCCAGGGGAAGCCAGACCUCUACAAUCGGGCACUUAAAUUACCCUUGAAUUUGUGACAAAAGUGUACUAUACCAUUCACUUCUUAGUGUCAUAGUUGGGGCAUGUCUAAAUUGUUUAAUUUGAACAGUGCGUUCAGACGCAAGACAAAUUCGCGCUUGCAUUUUUGUUGAAACCGUCUCUGGCUUUGGAUCCCACCACCCGCAAGAAUCCUAAACCUAACGUUUGAUAACAAAACGAAGGAGAACCCUUGGGAACCCCCUCAAUGGUCAAUUUAAAAUAACAGAUGGUGCAUAAUCCUAAAGGAAGACUAGUGACCUAUAAUUAGGCCUAGAACCCUAAUCAAACCCGUAUUACCGAUCCAAAUUAAAACCUGGUAGAAUCUAAUACAUUGACUGCAAUUAAAAUGUUUGCCUGGAAAUUAGUAUCACUGAUGACAAAUAUUUGUAUUUCUGAUGAAUAUGUAUGUUUAAAGAUGCUUUCUUUCUAGAAAGGAAAGGAGACCUUGGAUGUAGGGUGUGUUAAUCAUUUCCCCAGAAUCUGAGCUCCAAACUAUGUUUUAGAAACUGGUUAAAUUUUUUUUAAAUGUUUGCCUGCUUUCUACAUUGCUAGGUUAGAAUACAUUUAAAACAAACGCCUUCACUAAAAAUGUUUCCUAUGAUUUAAGCGACUUACUUUUAUUCAAAUUGCGAUAUUAUUUCUUUUAGUGAUAAUUAUUUUCCUAGAGGUAACUAAUUCCUUUAUAAAAAUCUCAGUAUUCACAUACAUUUAAGCAAUGGUAUUAAGCUCAAUAAUGCAAAUUAAAAAUCAGGUUUUAAUUAGCAAGUUGUUAGGUAGGUUUUUAUGAUCCCUUGUAAAAGUUGCUUGGUUUUUUGUCCUCACAGCUUCCCUGGACACAUAGGCAAAUGUUUUUAUCUUCAGAAGGGGAACUGAGCUGAGAGGCAAAGGACCAUGACUUUGCAAUGACUGGUAACCCAGUACGUAUAAUGCAAGAACUGCAUUCUAGAUACGCCUGAAAUUAAUGUUUCCUGGGCAAAAACAUUUUCAUUAUCUUUUUUUUAAUCCCUGGACAUUAGCUACAGGUGGUUACUUGCAGAUUUACUGCUGUAGAGCUCCAAAAUUGAGAUUACACUUUUCAGAUUCUGCGUACCCUAAGGCUAAGAGGUUGGGCUAUUGAGUUUGGGUGGUCUCUUUGGUCCUGAUUGCUACUUCCAAACCAUUUCUGCUCUUUUCUGCUUCAAAAAUAUUUGAAGUUCAUAUCUUCUGGCUAAAUCACUUUCUACUCUCCUUCCUGCCAUCAUCCACGAGCCUCCUGGUCACUUUCCAGAAAUUAUAGAGCUGCUUGCCGUAGGUUUUCCUCACCAUCCCUCUUGUCUACAUUCUAUCUGAAUUCAGCAUGCUUGUAGGUGACCCAUGCAACACCAACACUUGGCCUCUUAGACCUCUGACCUCUUCAUCUCCAACAAUUUGUUCCUCUCUUGCGUCUUAACCACUUCGGUAUCAGUCAGAUUCUGAACCUUGUCAUCAGUUGAAAUCUCAGUUUCAAGCUUCCCAAUUGUCAAUCACUAGCCUUUUUUUCCCAGCUAAUUUAUGGUACUCUCACUUACCUAAUUAAGACCUCCACGCUAUUAACCCCAACACUUAAAAAAACUCAACUCUUCUGCUUCUGCCAUCAUGUAAUAAUUUUGCAACUCACCUGACUUAAAUUCCCUGAUCAGUCCUUUUCAUCACUCUUUUACAAACAUUUUCAACUCUCUGAUCUCAAUGUCUCCUUUUUUGCUUGAAAGAAUCUCAGCCUUGCUUGGACUAAACCAUGCUCCAGCUGAACUUUCUCAUUGCUUACAUCCAAACAGCAAAAGCUGCUGGAGAAAAGUCAGUCAUAUAACAAGCUAACUGGUUUUAAUUCAUGACCUCAGUCCUCUCAGGAGCACUCAACACUGGCUGGCAAUGCUAUUCCAGUCUCUGGGUUAACCAUUCAUACGUUCACAUCUCCUCAAAUUUCACAUCCUUUUUCCCUACCUCUCAUUUUUAGCUGGUGACCUUGCCUCAACUUCAAAAAAUAAAAACCACCUAUGAGGAAUGCUUCAA